RNAcentral lists this long non-coding RNA (341 nucleotides) under Elaeis guineensis (African oil palm). RNAcentral describes it as "long non-coding RNA (EGUI_LNC065465)". The record is from RNAcentral. Lineage: Eukaryota; Viridiplantae; Streptophyta; Magnoliopsida; Arecales; Arecaceae.
AUCACCAUCCUCGUGAUGAUCCUAUGGUCAGGAGCUGUUUAUGAGUUAGUUAUGUAAAUUCAUGCCUUAAAUUUUCAACUCUUGAAAAUAUAAAUUGAUAUUCCUACUAACUCAAAGGAUGUAUCACAGACACAAUGUACACAAUGUGAUAGAAGAAUAACCCAUUUAUUGAUUUAUAGUCAAAAUUAUAAAUUUGCCCUUAGAUUUGUACAGAAUGUGUCAGCCAAUCUGGCAUCUAGGGCACACAUCUAAUAGUUCACUCUCCUUAUUAGGAGUGAUUGUCCCUUAUUGAUCACUCACAAUCUCUAUGCACACUUCACCAUAUCCAGAACACCCCACAC